CCCAUGGCUCCUAACAGCAGAGUCCAGGAGCUGGUUUUAGGGCAGGUUGCAGGUGACAGAACUGUGCCACUCCAGGCCGUGAAGUGCAUACCAGAAGGGCCCUGAGCACUUCACAGCCUAGCGUGUGUUAUGUGAGUACCCUCUUGGUGAAUGAAUUACAAAGAUGUGUCCCUUCUUUUGAGCUGACACAAGAUUUGGGAAGGAGAAUGGUGUCUGGACUUCAGCCAUCGAUGCCCCACCUCAGCUGGGUCCCCUUGUUGAGUGUACAUACUUUAUAACAAAACACGGGGAGAGAUUCUUAUCUACCCUGCUCUAGGUGCAUCCCCUUUUCACCAAUGAGAUGAUUAAGUAUUAGAAGGUGUGAUGGUUAAUACUGAGUGUCAACUUGAUUGGAUUGAAGGAAGCAAUGUAUUGUUCCUAAGGUGUUGCUGAAGGAGAUUAGCAUUUGAGUCAGUGAGCUGGGAGAGGCAGACCCACUGUCAAUAUGGGUGGGCACCAUCUAAUCAGCACAUCUAAUCUAGCUGCCAGCACAGCUAGAAUAAAGCAGCAAAAGAAAGUGAAAUGAGCAGACUUGCUAAGUCUUCCGGCCUUCAUCUUUCUUCCGUGCUGGAUGCUUCCUGCCCUCACACAUUAGGCUCCAAGUUCUUCAGCUUGUGAACUCUUGGACCUACACCAGUGAUUUGCCAAGGACUCUUGAGCCUUCAGCCACGGACUGAAGGCUACACUGUCGGCUUCCUUACUUUUGAGGUUUUGGACUUGACUGGCUCCUCGGCUUGCAGAUGGCCUAUUGUGGGACUUCACUCUGUGAUCAUGAAAAUUUGCAUUCUCCCUGUUGUGGAAAUAGGUGGGGAUUUCGGGGCAGGCUGAAGAGGGAGCUAUUUUUUUCAGAGAUCUGCGCAUUCCCCCUGUGAGGGAGGCUGACAAGGACCAUGGAACUCAACCAUUCAUGCAAAGCUCUUUCAAUUUCAUCAUCUCAUCCCACCAUCACAACGCUGGGAGAUCAGUUAGGUGCCACUCAGCCACCCGCGCUGGGAUUUGACUCAACCGUAAGUUGCCAGGGAAACAGCCAGAUUAGAUCCUACGACAUUUCUUUGUUCCAUUCCCAUUCUCACUUCUAGACCACAUCACCUGGAAGGAGAUAAAACCCUGGAUCUGGAAGAAUUUGGGAUGCUGGGCAAUAUUUAACCCAAAUAGAGGGGCUAGCUGCCAGUCUGACUGUCUCGGCGGAGUAAUACUGCAGUAAUUAUGUGAUAGUCUUGUGUAUAUCAAAAGAAUAUUUGAUGUCCUGAGGGCAGUGGAGAGCAUGAGAAAGAAAAAUACGCCUGGAUGGAGACAUUUAAAAUACUAGCUAGGUGUUUAACAACUGCGUUGAAUUUAAUAUGUUUCAGUUGCAUGCCUGCUGGGACUCUUUUCCCUCCAACCAGACUCAAUUGUCUUUUAAGGCACUUGAGCUCUAGCAAGGAGAGAGGUUUGAACCUCUGGUAUGUAUAUUUAUAGACUGUUGGAGACAUGAGAGCAAUCACAGUAAUUCCUGGAGUGAAUUUCCUCCCCUCCUGUAACCUAAAUAAAUUUCACUCAGCAGUGUGGGUACUCUAAUCCCUUCCUCACCCUUGCCAUAUCUGACACCCUUUAUUGUUUCCCUAGCAACUGCCCAGCAUGGGGAGGCUAUAAAAGGAGCAACAAUAAACAAAAUGAAUUACAACAAAGGUGACUAGCUGGCAGAAUUAGCACAGUGGAGGGUGGAGGGGUUUGAUCUCACAUAGACUUUUCUAGUAUUUCUCCUUUUCUCCUCUCCGAAGACCCUUGGCUCUGUUAUUUCUCAUAGCACUAUAGAGCUAGCAUUGAUAACUCCCAGCUUUUAGAAAGCUAGCUCAAAAAGAGAUCAGAGAGUUAAGAGUGACUUUUCCUAAGUCCAGGCGCGGUGGCUUAUGCCUGUAAACCUAGCACUUCGGGAGGCCGAGGCAGUGGCUCACUUGAGGUCAGAGACCAGCCUGGCCAACAUGGUAAAACCCUUUCUCUACUAAAAAUACAAAAAAAAUUAGCCUGUAUGUGCCUGUAAUCCCAGCGACUGGAAGGCUGAGGCACAAGAAUCACUUGAGCCCAGGAGGUGGAGGCUGCAGUGAAUUGAGAUCGCGACAUUGAGCUCUAGCCUGGGUGAUAGAGUGAGACUUUCUCCCCCACAAAAAAGAAUGACUUUUCCUAAAUCAUGAGGCUUGACCCUAAUUAUUUUUUCAGAUAUUUUGCAUUUAAUUCUGUUAUUGUUAUUUAUUUCCAGUAUUCCAGUGGUACCACCAACACCGGACAGCACUCACAGAGAAGCUAUUGCAGGUCUGAUGAAGCAGAGAUGAGACUCACAGAAGACAGCUGCUGCUUUGCCCUGUGACCGAGGUCCUCCGCAAUCAUUGCUGCUCUGCUUACAGAAUUAUUAUCAUGGUGAAAGGAAAGAGUGCUUUCCAAAGUGUGAAGAGUUAUGUAGUGAUUGUUUAUCCCUUCCAUGUGGGCUGGGAGUAGUCAGGGAGGGUCAAUUUGCUGUCCACAUUCAGCAUAAAAAUAGCUCCAAUGUGCUAAAAAUAUUUGUCAUCCACACAGAGAAAUCUGCAAGUCCUCACCACGGAGCCUUGAAAAGGAGGUCACAGAAAUAUCUGGAGCAAAGGACUUCCUCUCACUUGUCUCACCUAAUAGCAAUCUUAGAAUAAGGGUUUCUCACUGCUAGGCCAAGAUCUGGGUUUUUGCAUUUUUGCACCAGAUUUUGUUCUGUGUUCUGCUUACUCUGCUUAAAUGCAUGUGCAAAUGAGGCACUCAACAUCACUCCCCAUGAACCCAAGAUUCUUCUGGGCACGUUGGCACAUCAUCAUACCCAGGGGGACAGUUCGGACUCCUCUUGUCAGGUGUUGCUUAUUCGUCAUCAAAUUUGCCAGAGCCUCCCAGGUGCCAUUCCCACCCAAUGCUACCGUUCUGCACAGAGGUCCUGUUUGGUGCUGUGCCACUCUUGACCUUUUUCUCUCCUAGUAGUGGUUUAGUUUGUGAUGGGUUAAACAAUUCCUUUUUAAUAAUUGUAAAUGACUUCUAUUUAUAUUUGCUUUUUUGAAAGACAUUUUAGUUACUGAGGCAAGCCUUUUAUAAGUCCUCAGCACUGUGUCUUGAGUUUACAAAGCACACUGGUAAGAGACAACUUAGGUCUAGAGCAAUGCGCUUCUUUACCUUUUCUCUUUUUUUUCCUUUCAAUGUGUACAAAUUCAGUUGUUGCCAAUUCCCUAAAAGUAAUUUCCCCAGAACUUCUCUUAUUUGUGACAAAACUCCUAAUUUCUUCUUUCAGCUCUGUUUUGGAUUUUUUUUUCACUUUUUACUUUUACAUUUUUAUUUAUUUUCCCAUUGAUUGUACAUAUUAAAAGAAACCAAAGGGCUAGUUCCUGCUCCCAUCUAUUCUGACUGAGGCUGUAUUACUCUGCUACUAAAAGAAAAUGAAACUAUAUUCCUAAAGAGUAUGCUGGCUCUGAGAGCUUGGGCACCUUCUCACACUGUCUUAGUUCACCCACUUGGAACUGUAACUCUGGGGCAAAAUUGAGUUUGACUCUAAUGCUUACUCACUAAAUAGACUUCUUAACUUCAUCAUUAUUAUUUUUCUUUUUUGAGACAGUCUUGCCCUGUCACCCGGGCUGGAGUGCAGUGGAGUGAUCUCAGCUCACUGCAGCCUCUACCUCCUAGGUUCAAGCAAUUCUCCUGCCUUAGCCUCCUGAGUAGCUGGAACUACAGGAGUGCGCUACCAUGCCCAGCUAAUUUUUUUGUAUUGUUUUAGUAUAGACAGGGUUUCACCAAGUUGGCCAGGCUGGUCUUGAACUCCGACCUCAGGUGAUCCGCCCACCUCGGCCUCCCGAAGUGCUGGGAUUGUAGGCUUGAGCCACUGCACCCGGCCUUCAUUAUGUUUUUGAUCUCAGCUCUGUACUUAAUCAUUUUAGUACCAUGGUUAGUAAGAUAACUAUUCAAUUUUUCAGUGGGAUGUGGUCUUAGUCAGUUUGGGCUGCUAUAGCAAAAUUCCUUAGACUGCUUAAUUUAUAAACAAUAGCAAUUCAUUGUUUACUGAUGGGUGUGGUGGCUCAUUCCUACAAUCCCAGCACUUUGGGAGGCUGAGGCAGACCUUCAGAGCAGAAGGUCUGCUAAGGUAAAAGUAUUACCAUGGUUGUUAUAAUUAAUAAUAACUGACACCUCAGCAACAUGAACAUAUGUGGACUCUCCCCUGCCAGUCUUUUAACUUCUGCUUGUAAUGUUUUUGGCAUAGGUUUUCUGUGCACCAACCAAAUGCAUACUCUGGUGGAAAGACCCCUGAAGGAUCUAACUUGAGUUUUGGCCUUGCCAUUAACAUGUAUGAAGUCAGCCAAAUCAAUUGAUCUUAUCUUGAAGCCUGUAGAAUCCAUAAUCCACAAAAAAUAACAAUAAUUUUUACCAGAAAAGAGUUUUCAUCUUUUGAGGGAAGAUAUUUGGGGAAAACUUAUCCAUAUAAUUUCCAUGAUAUCAGGUGAUUGUCAACUCUUUACUACCUUUUCUGCAAUAUUGAUAAGGAUAAUAUUAAGGAAUUAUAAGUUAAUUAUUUAUAAUUGUUUCUGGAAAAAAAACAAAGGAAGUUAAGUAAACGGGAUUAUUUCCCCAAUUUUAGAGACCAUUAGGGGUCUAAAAUCAAAUAUUAAAAGUCUGUCUUACCUAAAACUUUCAUAAAUUUCUAGCAAAUGAAAGUCAUAAAUAUGGUGGUUAAAACAUAGGUUCUAAAGCCAGAGUGUCUGGGUUCCAAGGUUGACUGUGCCACAUGGGUGACUUUGGGGAGUUGUUUAACAUCUAUUUUCUCAUCUGUAAAACGGGAAUGAUAACAAUAAGCAAUUCACAAGGCAUCUGAGAAGAUUUAAUAAUGGUCAUUGUUUCUUGAGCAUGUCCUUCUUACUGAACACUUUCUCUUUCUAAGCACUUAAUUUUCACAACAACUUCAGGGGUGUUAUUGGUAUAAAUAAGUGAAGUCAUGCAUGUAAGGCCCUUAAAACUGUGCCUGGCUAUUCUAAGAUUCAAUCAAGACUACUUAGUAUUUUGCAUCCAUAAAAAGGGGGCAAAGUAAAGUCAGUAUGCCUUGGAGUGAAAUAAAGAAUUUAAUAGGGUGGCGGGGGGUGGGGGAAGAUAUUUCAGUGUAAGCCAACAUCCAUGAUCUUACUUAUGAAAGGAUUUCAUCUGAAUUGGUCAUCAAGCUUCUGCUAAAUGAAAUGAGCUGGAGAGCUAUAACUUAAGGUUAUAAUUAAAGGGAGAAUUAAAACACAGAGGCCUCACAGAAUGCUAUGCAUACUGGCUUUUACUUUCCUUCUUUCUAAAUGCACCUUGAGUGUAUAUUGGAUUAAAAUGGUGAAAAAGCAGUGACCCAGGAGUUUGUGACCAGUGUGAAGCAGGCUGGAUAAAAUUCAAAGUGAUGAAGGGGGUUUCAAAAAUGCUAGGGCAGACUUCCAGUUUCUGGUCCAGCACAUAAGGAGCUUGGAAGUCACCACUCUGUCUUAACAAGUAAAAUGCUGAACAGACUGAAAAAUCAAUAACAGAAGUGAGGUCACAGGGCAAACUGCUGUCCCCCAGUUGGAGGGACAGACAGGCAAAUACAGAGAAUCACAACUUACUAGAGCAGAAACCCAGGAGCAGAGACUUCCGUGGGAAUCAGUGCUGGGGUAGAAAGACAAAACUGUGAUGGACCAAAGCUGGAGGCUCAAUGUGGACAACCUGAUGAGUUAAAACCCUCAGGGGGAUCCAGCCAUGAUUGGGGUGGGGUGUACACUUUUCUCAGUUUUACCUCUAGUAAUGUAACCAGAUUCUCACAGUGAGUAUUGGAGAAAAAUUCCCUCAUGCUUCUGGCAGGGGGAGGGGAAAAACAGCCGUUUGGAAAGAUGCCAGAGCAUUUUGUUCUUAACAAGGCCUGUCCUCAGGGAAACUAUUUAACCAGAGCCUAACCUGCUGGAAUUUUACCAGAGCCUGACUGACCCGGGGGAAGGGAACUACCUACCUCUAGCCUUUUCUAGCCACCCUGUCCCACCUGAGAGUGGGGAACACCGACAAGCAUUUGUAAAGUUCAUAGUCUAGAGGCACAGGGUUAUUAAAAGACUAUGACCUAAUUGUAAGGCUAUAGAAUGUUUCUCCUUCCUCCACGCUUACCACCACAUUACUAAGGGCCCAUUUGCGCCCGUUCUUUUUUCCCCGUACCUCAUGACUGACUAUCAAAAAUUUACAAGGUAUACGGAAAGGCAAACAACCACAGUUUGAAAAGACAGCAAGCAUCAGAACCAGACUUAGAUACACCAGGGGUGUUGAAAUUAUCAGACUGAAAAUUUAAAAUAACUAUGAUUAAAAUGUCAGGAAUCUAAUGAAUAAAGUAGAUAGGAUGCAAAAAUGGUUAGGCAAUGCAAGCAGAGAGAUGAAACUCCUAAGAAAAAAUUUAAAAGAAGUACUAGAGAUCAAAACACCAUAACAGAAAUACGGAUUGCUUUUGAUAGGCUUACUAGUAGACUGAAUGAGGCUGAGAAAGAAUCUCUGAACUUGAGGAUUUUUUCAAUAGAAACUUCCAAAACUGAAAAGCAAAGAAAAAUACUGAAAAAAAAACAAACAAACCCAGAAUACAAUACCCACCAACUGUGAGACAACUAAAAAGGUAUACCACGCAGAAUAGGAACAGCAGAAGAAGAAAGAGAGAAAGAAACAGAAGAAAUAUUGGAAACAAUAAUAACUGAGAAUUGGCCUGGCUCACACCUGUAAUCCCAGCACUUUGGGAGGCCCAGGAAGUCAGAUCACGUGGGGUCAGGAGUUCAAGACCAGCCUGGCCAACAUGGUGAAACUCCAUCUCUACUGAAAGUACAAAAAAACUAGUCAGGAGUGGUGGUGGGCACCUGUAAUCCCAGCUACUUGGGAAGCUGAGGCAGGAGAAUUGCUUGAACCCGAAAGGCAGAGGUUGCAGUGAGCUGAGAUCGCACCACUGCACUGCAGCCUGGGCAACAGAGCAAAACUCUGUCUCCAAAAAAAAAACAAAACAAAAAAACUUGAGAAUUUCCCCCAGUUUAAUGUCAGACACUAAACUCAACCUGAUAAAAGAUAUGUAUGGAAACCCUACAGCUAACAUCAUAUUCAAUUACAAGAAACCAGAUUUCCCAACAAGAUCAAGAACUAGGCAAGGAUAUACCUUUUCACCACUCCUUUUCAAGGUCAUACUGGAAGUUCUACCUAAUGCAAUAGGAUAACAAAGGAAACAAAAGGUAUCCUGAUGAGGAUAAAAUAAAUAAAACUAUCUUUGUUCACAGAUGAUAUGAUUGUCUGUGUAGAAAAUAUGAAAAAAAUAAACCAAACAAAAACAAAAAUCCUUCCUGGAAUUGAUAAGCAAUUAUAGCAAGGUUGCAAGAUAUGAGGUUAAUAUAAAAAAUUAAUUGCUUUCCCUUAUACCAGCAAUGAGCAAGUAGAAUUUGAAAUAAAAACUAUAAUAUCAUACUGUUUAGAUUAGCACCCUCAAAAUAAAAUACUUAGGUGUAAAUUAUAACAAAAUAUGUAAAAAAUCUAUAUGAAGAGAACUACAAACUGCUUUAAAAAAUUAAAGAGGCCGGGCGCGGUGGGUCAUGCCUGUAAUCCCAGCACUUUGGAAGGCCGAGGCGGGCGGAUCACGAGGUCAGGAGAUCGAGGCCAUCCUGGCUAACAUGGUGAAACCCUGUGUCUACUAAAAAAUACAAAAAAUUAGCCAGGCAUGGUGGUGGGUGCCUGUAAUCCCAGCUACUCAGGAGGCUGAGGCAGGAGAAUGGCGUGAACCUGGGAGGCAGAGCUUGCAGUGAGCUGAGAUCGCACCACUGCACUCCAGCCUGGGUGACAGAGAGAGACUCUGUCUCAAAAUAAAAUAAAAUUAAAUUAAAUUAAAUUAAAUUAAAUUAAAUUAAAUUAAAAUUGAAGAAGAACUAAAUAAAUGAAGAGUUAUUCCAUAUUCAUGGAUAAGAAGACACAAGAGUGUCAAGAUGUCAGUUCUUCUCAACUUGAUCGGUAGAUUCAUUGCAAUUCCAAUCAAAAUCUCGGCAAGUUAUUUUGUGAAUUUUGACAAAUUAACCCUAAAGUUUAAAUGAAAAGGCAAAAAUCCCAGAAUAAUCAACACAAUAUUGAAGAAGCAGAACCAGGUUGGAGGACUGCCAUUACCUGAUCUCAAGAUUUACUGUAAAGCUACAGUUAUCAAGACAAUGUGGUACUGGUGAAAGAAAAGACAAACAGAUAAAUGUAACAGAAAAGAGAGCUUAGAAACAGACCCACCUAAAUAUAAUCAACUGGUCUUUGACAAGGGAGCAAAAUUAAUACAAUGGAGAAAAAGUAGACCUAAGUAUAAAAUGCAAAACUAUGAAAUUCCUAGAAGAUAACUAAAAAAAAAUCUAGGUGACCUUGGGUUUGGUAAUUACUUUUUAGAUACAACCAAAGGCAUAAUACUUGAAAAAAACAAUUGAUAAGCUGGACUUCAUUAAAAAUAAAAAUUGCUCUGCAAAAGACAGUGUCUAGAGAACGAGAAGACAAGCUGUAGACUGGGAGAAAAUUUGCAAAAGACAUAUCUGAUAAAAGACUGUUACCCAAAAUAUACAAAGUACUGUUAUAAUUGAAGUUUAAAUGAAUGGCUUUGUUUAAAUGAAUGGUCUUUAACAAGGGAGCAAAAUUAAUACAAUGGAGAAAAAGUAGACCUAAGUAUAAAAUGCAAAACUAUGAAAUUCCUAGAAGAUAACUAAAAAAAAAUCUAGGUGACCUUGGGUUUGGUAAUUACUUUUUAGAUACAACCAAAGGCAUAAUACUUGAAAAAAACAAUUGAUAAGCUGGACUUCAUUAAAAAUAAAAAUUGCUCUGCAAAAGACAGUGUCAAGAGAAUGAGAAGACAAGCCAUAGACUGGGAGAAAAUUUGCAAAAGACAUAUCUGAUAAAAGACUGUUACCCAAAAUAUACGAAGUACUGUUAUAACUCAGUCAAUCAGAAAAUGAACCACCCAAUUAAAAAAUGGCUAAAGAUCUUAACAGGUACCUCACCAAAAAGAUAUGCACAUAACAAAUAAGCACAUGAAAAGAUGCUCCACAUUUUAUAUCAUUAGAAAAAUGCACAUUAAAACAACAAUAAGAUACUACUAUUAGGUUGGUGCAAACACAGUUGCAGUUUUUGCAUUGUUGAAAUUUGCUGUUCAUAUUGGAAUACAUUCUUAAAUAAAUGUAGUUAUGUUAUACACCAUUUUAAUGUGCAUUCUUGCUUUAUGUUUCUUUUGUUAAUGACUUACUAAUUGCUCUUAAUUUUAUAUUUAUUUUAGACUAUAGAAAUGAUGUUAGUCAAAAAGCAAAUGAUGAUGAUUAUUAUUUUAUUUUAUUUUUCCAUAAGUUAUUGGGGUACAGGUGGUAUCUGGUUACAUGAGUAAGUUUUUCAGUGGUAAUUUGUGAGAUCCUGGUGCACCCAUCACCCAAGCAGCAUACACUGCACCAUAUUUAUUGUCUUUUAUCCUUCACCUCCCUUCUACUCUUCUCCCCAAGUCCCCAAAAUCCAUUGUAUCAUUCUUACGUCUUUGCAUCCUCACAGCUUAGCUUCUACAUAUCAGUGAGCUCGCAGCUUAGCUUCUACAUAUCAUAUGAUGUUUGAUUUUCCAUUUUUGAGUUAUUUCACUUAAAAAGAAAAUUUGAGUGAUUUUCUUAUUCGCGUUCAAAAUGGGGUGUAAAGUAGUGGAGACAACUCACAACAUUAACGGUGCAUUUGGCCCAGGAACUGUUAACCAACUUAACAGGACAGUGGUGGCUCAAGAAGUUUAGCAAAGGAGACAAGAGCCUUGAAGAUGAGGAUCAUAGUGGCCGGCCAUUGAAAGUUGACAACAACCAGUUGAGAGCAACCAUCGAAGCUGAUCCUCUUACAACUGCAGGAGAAGUUGCCAAAUAACUUCUGCAGUUCUGUCGGCCAUUCUGUGGUCAUUUGGCAUUUGAAGCAAAAUUGGAAAGGUGAAAAAGCUCGAUAAGUGGGUGCCUUAUCAGCUGAGUGAAAAUAAAAAAAAAUCGUCAUUUUGAAGUGUCUUCUGUUAUCCUAUGCAACAACAACAAACCAUUUUUUGAUCGGAUUGUGAUGUGCAAUGUGAAGUGGAUUUUAUACCACAACCGAUGAUGACCAGCUCAGUGGUUGGACCGAGAAGAAGCUCCAAAGCAUUCCUCAGAGACAAACUUGUACCAAAAAAGGGUCAUGGUCACUCUUUGGUGGUCUGCUGCCAGUCUGAUCCACUACAGCUUUCUGAAUCCCAGCGAAACCAUUACGUCUAAGAAGUAUGCUCAGGAAAUUGAUGAGAUGCACUGAAAACUGCAAUGCCUGCAGCCGGCACUGGUCAACAGACAGGGCCCAAUUCUUCUCCAUAUCAAUGCCCAACCGCAUGUCAUACAACCAAUGCUUCAAAAAUUGAAUGCAUUGGGCUACAAAGUUUUACCUCAUCCACCAUAUUUACCUGACCUCUAGCCAACCGACUACCACUUCUUCAAGCAUAUUGACAACUUUUUGCAGGGAAAACACUUGCACAACCAGCAGGAUGCAGAAAACGCUUUCCAAGAUUUUGUUGAACCCUGAAGCACAGACUUCCAUGCUACAGGAAUAGACAAACGUUUCUCCUUGGCAAAAAUGUGUUGAUUGUAAUGGUUCCUAUUUUGAUUAAUAAAGAUAUGUUUGAGCCUAGUUAUAAUGAUUUAAAAUUCACAGUCAAAACCACAGUUACUUUUGCACCAAUCUAAUAUACACCUCUUAGAGUGUCCAAAAUCCAGAAUAUUGACAAUACCAAAUGCUGGCAAAGGUGUGGAGCAGCAAGGACUCUCAUUCAUUGCUGGUGAAAAUGCAAAAUUGUAUGGCCACUUUGGAAGACAAUUUGGUGGUUUUUUGUAAAACUAAACAUACUCUUAUCGUAUAAUCUAGCAUUCGUGCUCCUUGAUAUCUACCCAAAGGAGCGGAAAAUUUAUGUCCACCCAAAUGCCUAUAUGUGGAUGUUUAUAGUAGCUUUAUUCUUAAUUGCCAAAACUUGGAAGUAGCCAAGAUGUCUUUUGGUAUUUAGAUGACAAACUGUGGUACAUCCAGACAAUGAAAUAUUAUUUAGUGCACACAAAAAUGAACUAUCAAGUCACGAAAAAACACAGAGGAGGCUGAAAUGCAUAUUCCUUAUACAUACUGUAUAAUUUCAAUUACUAUAUGACAUUCUGGAAUAGGCAAAACUAUGGAGAUGGUAAAAAGAUCAGUGGUUGCCAGGGCUUAGGUAGAGAAAGGCAGAACACAGAGGAUUUUUAGGGAGUAAAGCUAUUCUGUACGAUAAUCUAAUGGUGAGUACAUGUCAUUAAAUGACUGUCCAAAUCUACAGAAUGCACGACAUCAAGAGUGAAUACUUAUAUAAACUGUGGAUUUGGGGUGAUAAUAACAUGUAAAUGUAGGUUCUCCAAACAUAAUCAGUGAACUACUCUGGUGGGGAAUAGUAAGUGCAGGGGAAUCUAUGCAUGUGUGGGGGAAGGGGCUGCACAGGAAAUCUCUGUACUUCUUGCUCAAUUUUGCUGUGAACCUAAAACUGCUCUAAAAAAUAAAGUCUAUUAAAAAUAAAAACAAGAGGGGCAAUUCUCAAAAUUUUCAGUUUCAAGACUCUUUUACACUCUUAAAAAUUAUUGGAGACCCCAAAGAGGUUUAUGUGGACUAUCUUACUUACCUUAGUGGAUAUUAAAGCUGACAAAAUUUAAAAAUGUUUAUUAAUCCAUUUAAAAAUAAUAAAAACUCAUUUUUGGUAGCAUAAAUAAUACAAUUUUUUAUGAAAAAUAACUAUUUUUCAAAACAAAGUGAGAAGACUUUUACAUUUAUUGCUUUACAUUUUUGCAAACCUCUUUGAUGUUUGGGUUAUUAGUAGAUAACUAGAUUGUCAUAUGUGCUUCUUCAUUUGAUCUGUUGUGAUGUAGCAUUUUGAUUGAAAAUCUAGCCUGUCACACAUUUGUUUACUUGAAAAAGAGAAAAGUAUUUUAAUAACCUUUCAGGUAAUUCUGGAUAUUCUUCUUUAAUAAUAUACUUAAACUUGACAGGUGGCUGUUUCUUAAAGAUUAGCCACAAUGUGAAAUCUCAAACUA
Molecule: long non-coding RNA, 12113 nt
Filed under: Homo sapiens (human)
Lineage: Eukaryota; Metazoa; Chordata; Mammalia; Primates; Hominidae
Description: HSALNT0106804
Source: RNAcentral